GAUGAACGCUGGCGGCGUGCCUAACACAUGCAAGUCGAGCGAACAGACGAGGAGCUUGCUCCUCUGACGUUAGCGGCGGACGGGUGAGUAACACGUGGAUAACCUACCUAUAAGACUGGGAUAACUUCGCGAAACCGGAUCUAAUACCGGAUAAUAUAUUGAACCGCAUGGUUCAAUAGAGAAAGACCGUUUUGCUGUCACUUAUAGAUGGAUCCGCGCGGCAUUAGCUAGUUGGGAAGGUAACGGCCUACCAAGGCAAUGAUGCGUAGCCGACGUGAGAGAGGGAUAGGCCACACUGGAGCUGAGACAGCGUCCCGACUCCUGCGAGAGGGCGCAGAAGGGAAUGGUACGCAAUGGGGGAGAGCCUGACGCAGCGAGGCCGAGUGAGUGGUGACGGUCUUCGGAUAGUGAAGCCGGCUUAUUGGGGAUAAACCAGUGUGUGAGUAGAUGUAGCGGGAGUGACGGUACCUAAACAAGAAGCCACGGCUAACUACGUG
Molecule: ribosomal RNA, 497 nt
Filed under: uncultured bacterium
Lineage: Bacteria
Description: partial 16S ribosomal RNA
Rfam family: Bacterial small subunit ribosomal RNA
Source: RNAcentral